RNAcentral lists this long non-coding RNA (1421 nucleotides) under Mus spicilegus (steppe mouse). Its description in RNAcentral is "lncRNA (ENSMSIG00000011332.1)". Lineage: Eukaryota; Metazoa; Chordata; Mammalia; Rodentia; Muridae. The record is from RNAcentral.
GUAAUAAAAAGCACUUAGGGUUGAUGUGGUGGCACAUCUCAGUACCUUGGAGAUUAGCACAAUGAGAUCAGUGAGGAGGAAGGUUUCAGGGUUCAGAAGAGCCUACCCUUAGUUGAGGCACUGCUGGCAUUGAUGACUGUUGGGUGAGAGUCAGUUUUCUUUGGGGGUGUAUGCAGCUGCCCCAGGAAGCUAGGGCCUCUGGCUGGAUCUAAGGAGAACUGCAGUCAGUCACAGGCAGUUUGAUGAGGGUAGUGGGAACGGAACCAGGGUCAUCUGCAAGAGCAUCCAGCGCUGUUGAACCACCGCCUCUUCCCAUAAUACAUAAUAAUCUCACUGUUGUAGAAGGUGUGUCUGGUUGCUUUGCUCGGGUUUGAACGAGAAUGUCCCCUUAGGCUCUGGCAUUUGAGUACUUGGUCUCUUGUAGGUGCAGUCUGGGGAGGAUUAGGGGGUGUGGCCUUGCCAGAGGAAGUACGUCACUGGUGGGUGGGCUCUGAAGUUUCGCAGCUUCUGCUGCUCCUAGUUUGUACUCUCCGAUUGGUGUUUGUGGUUUGAUGCCUCGGCUUUCAGUUCGUCAUUCCUGGUGCCAAGCCUGUCCGCUGCCAUGCUUCCCGGCCUUGAUGGUGAUGGGCUGCUAUCCGUCUGGAAUUGGAAGCCAAGAUGAUUGCCUUGGUCACGGUGUUUUGUCACAGCAAUAGGAAAGUAAACACAACUAGGCUGCACCUUCAUUCAGCAAGAGACUUUGGGUCCUUUUCCAAGUCCACGGGGUUGUGCUAGAAUCCAUUUGUCCGUUGUGAAACUGAGUCCCUUCUUGCCGGCUUGUUUCCCGACGACCACGCAGUGAGCACCAGCAUUUCUUACAUUGUCUCCCGUCUGCGGUGUAUGGAACAGAAAGACUCCCUAUCUAAUCCUUACUAGGCUCCUGUUCUCUAGGACCAGCUCUGUCUCUAUUAUCGGCUCACGAUUAGGCGAGACUCCCCUUUAUAAGGAUAACUGCCAUGAAAAGAUUCCUUUAAAAGAAAGAAUUUUAUUACUUUCUUUACUCUGUCUGGACAUGUGUGGGCAUACAUUUGGAGUUCAGAGGACAGUUAUCGGAACCAUCUUACCCCCAUCUUUUUGUGAGUUCUACGGAUGAAACUUAAGUUCAAGGUUGUGGCAAGUAUCAUCUGCUCUUCUGUGAGAGUUGAGGCUUGUUGGUCACAUCGACAGCACUAGGUAUGUAUAGACGUGCAGCUAAUUCUUGAGUGAGUGCUUAGGCUCUGACCAGAGACUUUAAAGAAAGUGGUUUCCCGGGGCUGGAGAGAUGGCUCAGUGGUUAAGAGCAGUGACUGCUCUUCCAAAGGUCCCGAGUUCAAAUCCCAGCAACCACAUGGUGGUUCACAACCAUCCUUAAUGAAAUCUGAUGCCCUCUUCUGGAGUAUCUG